AUUGAACGCUGGCGGCAGGCUUAACACAUGCAAGUCGAGCGGGGGAAGGUAGCUUGCUACCGGACCUAGCGGCGGACGGGUGAGUAAUGCUUAGGAAUCUGCCUAUUAGUGGGGGACAACAUCUCGAAAGGGAUGCUAAUACCGCAUACGUCCUACGGGAGAAAGCAGGGGAACUUCGGACCUUGCGCUAAUAGAUGAGCCUAAGGCGGAUUAGCUAGUUGGUGGGGUAAAGGCCUACCAAGGCGACGAUCUGUAGCGGGUCUGAGAGGAUGAUCCGCCACACUGGGACUGAGACACGGCCCAGACUCCUACGGGAGGCAGCAGUGGGGAAUAUUGGACAAUGGGGGGAACCCUGAUCCAGCCAUGCCGCGUGUGUGAAGAAGGCCUUAUGGUUGUAAAGCACUUUAAGCGAGGAGGAGGCUACUUUAGUUAAUACCUAGAGAUAGUGGACGUUACUCGCAGAAUAAGCACCGGCUAACUCUGUGCCAGCAGCCGCAGUAA
Molecule: ribosomal RNA, 501 nt
Filed under: uncultured bacterium
Lineage: Bacteria
Description: partial 16S ribosomal RNA
Rfam family: Bacterial small subunit ribosomal RNA
Source: RNAcentral